AUUGAACGCUGGCGGCAUGCCUUACACAUGCAAGUCGAACGGCAGCAUGGAAGAGCUUGCUCUUCUGAUGGCGAGUGGCGAACGGGUGAGUAAAGCAUCGGAACGUACCGUGUAGUGGGGGAUAACGUAGCGAAAGUUACGCUAAUACCGCAUACGCACUGAGGUGGAAAGCAGGGGAUCGCAAGACCUUGCGCUAUACGAGCGGCCGAUGUCAGAUUAGCUAGUUGGUAGGGUAAAGGCCUACCAAGGCGACGAUCUGUAGCGGGUCUGAGAGGAUGAUCCGCCACACUGGGACUGAGACACGGCCCAGACUCCUACGGGAGGCAGCAGUGGGGAAUCUUGCGCAAUGGGCGAAAGCCUGACGCAGCAACGCCGCGUGCGGGAUGAAGGCCUUCGGGCUGUAAACCGCUUUCAGCAGGAACGAAAAUGACGGUACCUGCAGAAGAAGGAGCGGCCAACUACGUGCCAGCAGCCG
This 475-nucleotide ribosomal RNA is filed under the name uncultured bacterium. Its description in RNAcentral is "bacterial SSU rRNA". It matches the Rfam family "Bacterial small subunit ribosomal RNA", at positions 29 to 517 of the family's 1533-position model. The record is from RNAcentral.